Molecule: ribosomal RNA, 506 nt
Filed under: uncultured bacterium
Lineage: Bacteria
Description: bacterial SSU rRNA
Rfam family: Bacterial small subunit ribosomal RNA
Source: RNAcentral
GACGAACGCUGGCGGCGUGGAUUAGGCAUGCAAGUCGAACGGUAUCAUCCUUUCGGGGGUGAGAGAGUGGCGAACUGGUGAGUAACACGUAGGUUAUCUACCCUCAAGACGGGGACAACCCAGGGAAACUUGGGCUAAUACCGGAUGUGAGCAACUUUUAGUUGUUUGAAAGGUGGCGUAAGCUGUCGCUUGGGGAUGAGCCUGCGUCCUAUUAGUUAGUUGGUGAGGUAACGGCUCACCUAGGCAAUGAUAGGUAGGCGGCCUUAACGGGUGGUCGCCCACACUGGGAUUGAGAUACGGCCCAGACUCCUACGGGAGGCAGCAGUCGAGAAUAGUCUACAAUGGUCGGAAGACUGAUAGUGCGACGCCGCGUGAACGAUGAAUCCCUUCGGGGUGUAAAGUUCUUUUAUAUGUGAGCAGUGCUUCUUAUAUUAACAGUAUGGGGAGAGAGAUAUUAGCAUAUGAAUAAGCAACGACUAACUCCGUGCCAGCAGCCGCGGUAAUCU